This is a long non-coding RNA of Dermochelys coriacea (leatherback sea turtle), 595 nucleotides long. RefSeq lists it as uncharacterized. NCBI's taxonomy places the organism in Eukaryota, Metazoa, Chordata, Testudines, Dermochelyidae. The transcript has 3 exons. The record is from RefSeq and is a predicted model, not a curated record.
ACUCAUGUACAACUCCCAGAUAAAGGACCUGAGAAAUAUGAGCCUGGAGGGAGCAAGAACCACCUAAUGUGGCUGGUGUCGCAGGGAAGGAAGAGAGCUUUUUGGAGAAGAAUCACAGCAGGGACAGGACUAAGAACUCUGCACUGAGGGGUAUUGGAACAAUAUGACAAAUCUGCAGCUUCAGAGGUCUCCAGAAACAAGAUAGGAGGUUUCCCCAUCCUAUAUGUCAACAGUUACAGACUCUCCUGAGAAGCUACCAGAUCGGUGACUCAUUACAGCUAAGGAAAGAAAUCGAUAACCAUAUGUUUGAAAAAAAUGUGAAGAAUGAUGAGAAGGAUUUGAUUUAAACGGACUUAAGGAAGGAAAUCCAGAGAGUUAGGGCUAUCACUUGACCAUAACUCUUCCUAUUGUGCUCAGUGUCUCAGAACAAUGAGUAAUCUUACAUAUCAUAUGGUUGGAAACGCCAAUAAAUUGACACAAUGGUGUAAUUAUAGAUGCAGGGGCAUCCGUUAUCAGAAGCCAGCUGUGUAUAUUAUAUAUCUUGGUAUACUUAUUGGUUCCUAUGUGUAGUAUUUCUGCAGAAUUUAUAUUAUAU